GAUGAACGCUGGCGGCGUGCUUAACACAUGCAAGUCGAACGAUGAAGCCCAGCUUGCUGGGUGGAUUAGUGGCGAACGGGUGAGUAACACGUGAGUAACCUGCCCUUAACUCUGGGAUAAGCCUGGGAAACUGGGUCUAAUACCGGGUAGGAGCGUCCACCGCAUGGUGGGUGUUGGAAAGAUUUAUCGGUUUUGGAUGGACUCGCGGCCUAUCAGCUUGUUGGUGAGGUAAUGGCUCACCAAGGCGACGACGGGUAGCCGGCCUGAGAGGGUGACCGGCCACACUGGGACUGAGACACGGCCCAGACUCCUACGGGAGGCAGCAGUGGGGAAUAUUGCACAAUGGGCGCAAGCCUGAUGCAGCGACGCCGCGUGAGGGAUGACGGCCUUCGGGUUGUAAACCUCUUUCAGUAGGGAAGAAGCGAAAGUGACGGUACCUGCAGAAGAAGCACCGGCUAACUACGUG
RNAcentral lists this ribosomal RNA (466 nucleotides) under uncultured bacterium. RNAcentral describes it as "partial 16S ribosomal RNA". It matches the Rfam family "Bacterial small subunit ribosomal RNA", at positions 28 to 507 of the family's 1533-position model. The record is from RNAcentral.